UCAUUUCUUGUAGUUACCUUUAUACCUUAUAAAGCUUCCACCCUUGAGAACUCUUCAACAAUCAAAUCUUCUCUAAAUUACUAUUAGUUCCACUUAUAUUGAAGACAAGUUUUGAACCCUUGAUCUCAAUCUCGAAGACAUCUAUUUAACAAAAAGAAGAUUGAAAUUAUAAUAUAUAACCUUCAUUAGCUUUGGUGGAGAGCGAGAGCAGCAUCAAAAUGAAGGCUCACAAGGGGUUUGAUAAUAUGUUAAAGAGGAUUGCAGUGGUCUUACUUAUUGGAAUCAUAGCUUUUGCAUAUCAGAUCACCACUCCUCCGCCACCUAACCUCUGCGGUUCACCAGGUGGUCCGCCGGUCACCGGACCUCGAGUCACCCUCAGAGACGGUAGACAUCUAGCCUAUAACGAAUACGGCGUCACCAG
This 421-nucleotide long non-coding RNA is filed under the name Lactuca sativa (garden lettuce). RNAcentral describes it as "long non-coding RNA (LSAT_LNC007914)". Lineage: Eukaryota; Viridiplantae; Streptophyta; Magnoliopsida; Asterales; Asteraceae. The record is from RNAcentral.